UGCGUAGGUGGAGAUUUAAGUUAGCUGUGAAAUUCCUGGGCUUAACCUGGGGUGGUCAGCUAAGACUGGAUAUCUAGAGUAUAGGAGAGGGUAGUGGAAUUUCCGGUGUAGCGGUGAAAUGCGUAGAGAUCGGAAGGAACACCAGUGGCGAAGGCGGCUACCUGGCCGGAUACUGACACUGAGGCACGAAAGCGUGGGGAGCAAACA
RNAcentral lists this ribosomal RNA (207 nucleotides) under uncultured bacterium. RNAcentral describes it as "partial 16S ribosomal RNA". It matches the Rfam family "Bacterial small subunit ribosomal RNA", at positions 568 to 774 of the family's 1533-position model. The record is from RNAcentral.